AAGUCGAAGGAGAAGCCAUCUUCGGAUGGUGGAAACUGGCGCACGGGUGAGUAACGCGUGGGUAUCUACCUCGGGGUGGGGAAUAACCGCUGGAAACGGCGGCUAAUACCGCAUACGCCUUCAGAGGGAAAGCUACGGCGCCCUGAGAGGAGCCCGCGUUAGAUUAGCUAGUUGGUGGGGUAAUGGCCUACCAAGGCGACGAUCUAUAGCUGGUCUGAGAGGAUGAUCAGCCACACUGGGACUGAGACACGGCCCAGACUCCUACGGGAGGCAGCAGUGGGGAAUAUUGGACAAUGGGCGCAAGCCUGAUCCAGCCAUGCCGCGUGAGUGAAGAAGGCCUUAGGGUUGUAAAGCUCUUUCACCUGCGAAGAUGAUGACGGUAGCAGGAGAAGAAGCCCCGGCUAACUCCGUGCCAGCAGCCGCGGUAAUACGGAGGGGGCUAGCGUUGUUCGGAAUUACUGGGCGUAAAGGGCGCGUAGGCGGUAUGUCAAGUCAGGGGUGAAAGGCCUGGGCUCAACCCAGGAAUUGCCUUUGAAACUGGCAAACUAGAGUCCGAAAGAGGAUGGCGGAAUUCCCAGUGUAGAGGUGAAAUUCGUAG
This 598-nucleotide ribosomal RNA is filed under the name uncultured bacterium. Its description in RNAcentral is "bacterial SSU rRNA". It matches the Rfam family "Bacterial small subunit ribosomal RNA", at positions 59 to 693 of the family's 1533-position model. The record is from RNAcentral.